This 459-nucleotide ribosomal RNA is filed under the name uncultured bacterium. Its description in RNAcentral is "partial 16S ribosomal RNA". It matches the Rfam family "Bacterial small subunit ribosomal RNA", at positions 338 to 795 of the family's 1533-position model. The record is from RNAcentral.
CCUACGGGAGGCAGCAGUGAGGAAUAUUGGUCAAUGGGCGAGAGCCUGAACCAGCCAAGUCGCGUGAGGGAAGACGGUCCUACGGAUUGUAAACCUCUUUUGUCAGGGAGCAAGGAGCGCCACGAGUGGUGCGGCGAGAGUACCUGAAGAAAAAGCAUCGGCUAACUCCGUGCCAGCAGCCGCGGUAAUACGGAGGAUGCGAGCGUUAUCCGGAUUUAUUGGGUUUAAAGGGUGCGCAGGCGGGCUGUUAAGCCGGCGGUAAAAAUUCAGGGCUCAACCCUGUCGAGCCGUCGGAACUGGCAGUCUUGAGUGGGCGAGAAGUAUGCGGAAUGCGUGGUGUAGCGGUGAAAUGCAUAGAUAUCACGCAGAACGCCGAUUGCGAAGGCAGCAUACCGGCGCCCAACUGACGCUGAGGCACGAAAGCGUGGGGAUCGAACAGGAUUAGAUACCCUUGUAGUC